CACAGCUGAGCAUGACAGAGACAGGCCUGGGUUUGGGAGAAAACUGCUAUUGCCACUACCUUCAUCCACACAGUUCUGCAAUUUAACAGAUAAAUGAUGUCUUUCAGGUAUUCCCAGUGAUGCUGAAAUACUUGACUUGGGGGUGAAACACAUGAAAGCAGCAGUGGUGCUGGUCUAGACAGACACUCCCACCCCCAUCUCAGAGAAGAGGAAAGGGAGGUGUGGUGGUUAAUUUUUUGUGUCAACUUGACUGGGUCACAGGAUGUCCAGAGAGCCGAUUGACUGGGGCAGCACUAAAGGAACAGUUCAGGAUUGGAGAAGCUUCAGAUGCUUAGAAUAUUCCUGAAAAUCUGUCCCAGAGCAGUCUGAUAUAGAUACACAAUUCGUCUCCAGGUAGGUGCUCUGUGCUGUAUGCCACAAAGAAACACAGGUAAUUCUCUCAAGGCAAUUUUUUAAGGGUAGGGGGAAUGGAGAGAUGCUCAUAUGUUUGCUUUGCUCCAAGCCCUGGAAACUUAAUUCAAAAGGUAGUAUCCAUUAAUUAGGUUUAGGGAUGUGCAGAUGGUGAUAACCUAAAAUGGUUCUUUAACUUAGGACCUUAAUGAAGGCCAAAUAAUUCAUUGAAAAUGCAUAAAUGAGAGGGGGACUCAAGAUGGCGCAGUGAGAACAACCC
Molecule: long non-coding RNA, 670 nt
Filed under: Callithrix jacchus (white-tufted-ear marmoset)
Lineage: Eukaryota; Metazoa; Chordata; Mammalia; Primates; Cebidae
Description: lncRNA (ENSCJAG00000070818.1)
Source: RNAcentral